Molecule: long non-coding RNA, 1702 nt
Filed under: Capsicum annuum
Lineage: Eukaryota; Viridiplantae; Streptophyta; Magnoliopsida; Solanales; Solanaceae
Description: long non-coding RNA (CANN_LNC007518)
Source: RNAcentral
ACAAGAUAGAUAGGACAACUCGAAUGGAAUCUAAGAGUCAAAACAAUAACCAAUCUCAUAUUUGUCCACAAAAGCUUCUACAAUACCACAAUAUCAAAUUAGGUCGGGACAUGCCCCCAACCUUGACCAAAAGAAUCCAAAGUAAGAUACUAAAGAAACAUAAUGAAACUAAAGAAAUGACAGGCCUUCCGGAAGAUGGAGUCUCACCACUUCAAAGCAGACCAACCGACGAACCGUAUCAUCUAACAUUGCACACGACAAAUAGAAAAUUCCUAGAAUCCUAUAUCAUGAAACGAUGCAGCGUCCGGAGACGGUUAGUGGGAUGAGCACUAGCAUGUCACUCGGGAAAAGGAUAAAAUAAUGCCAUGUCCAAAUUCAAUCAAAACCACGUGUACAUGUUCACAUACAUACAUACAUACAUAUGUAUAUAUAUAUAUAUAUAUAUAUAUAUAUAUAAGAUGCCGGGAUAGGAAUCAGGGUUAUAAACAUGAGGGCUUAAAACCAUUAACCUGACUGUGUAGUUCUAUCCGUCUUAAGGGCACCCACGGACUAUAUGGGUUCAACUCUCCCUGCUGAAAGGGCCCAGUGCGUAUAGCCACACGAAUCAGGGAAAUCCAAGGAAGGGCCAAAGCCACCGAAGCUCCAACCAUUUCAAUAAGAUAUAUAAUGUGUGAACUAUGCACACGGUCAUAUAUAUUCCCCUCUCCGACAAACAUGGUUUUUUCAAUAUCAGUCCCCCCGGGACCUCCACCUUCACGGCGAGCUACACAACCCCUAUUAAGUCCAAAUUAAAAUAUUUGCACAUAAUUUCAAUCCGUUAACCCCAGGAGUCAUUCGUUACCAUUGGUCUCGUCAUAGCAAUUAUAUUAUGCUUGCAAGCUAACCAUUCAUUUCAUUCCAAAAUCAAUUAUCCAAUUUGACUCCCAAAUUUCAAUUUAAAACCAAACCAUGGCCACCAAGGUCUUUCAAAAUCGUUUUAUGUUCCAUUAACCUCUUAUGCAAUGCAAAUUUCCAAGAGUAAGUUAAAUUCAUGUAUAUAUCCAUGUUUCAAAACUUAAUUACAAAAGUAGGUUGAGGAUAAUACCAAUUCCAAAUCAAAAUCUAUCCAAUUGGGGAAAUCUACGACCCCAUUCCAUCCACCAUACCCAUGCACCCAAUUAGUUUCAAAUUUUUUUUAUCAAAUAAAGCAUAAGCAAUUCAUUUAAACCAUGAAAUCCAAUUCAAGCAAUAACCAUCCAAAAACCCUCGACCCAAUUGCAAAUCGAACCUUUAAAUCACAUGGAUAAUAAUAAAAAACACAUGCUUUAUAAAAAUUAAGUUAGGGAUGAGAGAUAUAUCUGGAUACCGAAGAUAUUUGGAGAGGAAAUCACAAUUUGAACCCUGGAUGCUUAAUCCCUUGAAACCCUAGCUUGUUUUUGACUUUGAUGUUUGAGAGGAGUGACGAGAGGUUUUUGAUUUGAUAAAAGUCGAAAAAGGACCCUUAGGGUGUUUUGAGGUCGUGGGAAUAGUGUUAAGGAGUGAAAAGACCAAUUUGUCCUUAAUUAAAAUGGGCAGGAAAAGGGCUCCCAGUCGCUAUGGGUCGGGUAACGACUCAUGAUGACAGGUCACGAGUCGUUGCCUGAGCAGAAACUUUGGGCAAUCACACUGACAUGACCAUGAGUCGUACAUCACGACUUGUUACCAAACUCCACGACUCGUGACG